AACGAACGCUGGCGGCGUGGAUAAGACAUGCAAGUCGAACGAGAUUUUCUUUGGUAGCAAUACCGAAGAAAGUCUAGUGGCGAACGGGUGCGUAACACGUGGGCAAUCUGCCUUAAAGUGGGGGAUAGCUCGGCGAAAGCCGGAUUAAUACCGCAUGUGAUGAGGGAAGACAUCUUUCCAAAAUCAAAGGUGGCGCAAGCUACCGCUUUUUGAGGAGCCCGCGGCCUAUCAGCUAGUUGGUGAGGUAACGGCUCACCAAGGCGAUGACGGGUAGCUGGUCUGAGAGGACGACCAGUCACACUGGAACUGAGACACGGUCCAGACACCUACGGGUGGCAGCAGUCGAGAAUUUUUCUCAAUGGGGGAAACCCUGAAGGAGCGACGCCGCGUGGAGGAUGAAGGUCUUCGGGUUGUAAACUCCUGUCAUUUGGGAACAAUGCUGACGUAUUAACUGUACGUUAGUUGAUAGUACCAGAAGAGGAAGAGACGGCUAACUCUGUGCCAGCAGCCGCAGUAAUAC
RNAcentral lists this ribosomal RNA (520 nucleotides) under uncultured bacterium. Its description in RNAcentral is "bacterial SSU rRNA". It matches the Rfam family "Bacterial small subunit ribosomal RNA", at positions 29 to 526 of the family's 1533-position model. The record is from RNAcentral.